This 566-nucleotide long non-coding RNA is filed under the name Panax ginseng (ginseng). RNAcentral's name for it is "long non-coding RNA (PGIN_LNC002104)". Lineage: Eukaryota; Viridiplantae; Streptophyta; Magnoliopsida; Apiales; Araliaceae. The record is from RNAcentral.
GAUCUUUUUCUUCUGAUAUUUUCAUCUCCACUUGUAUAAAUCCACCACUCAUUAAUCUUCACCAACAAAUUUCAUAUCAACCCCCUUAUCCGUCUACCUAUCUAUCAAACCCUAUACCCUCACACCACAAAUGGCAACCAUGGCUACAACCCUAACCUCAUCUCUCUCCUCAAACCCUAAACACUCUUUCUUCGAAAACAAAUCCUCCUUCCAUGGCUCCCCCAUCUCCUCAAAAACCCUCUUCCCCAUCAAAUCCGCCCCAGAAAACCUCUGCAUCACCAUGUCCGCCGCCACGCCGCCCUACGACCUCGACAACUUCAAAUUCAACCCCAUCAAGGAAUCCAUUGUUUCCCGCGAAAUGACGCGUAGAUACAUGACAGACAUGAUUACCUACGCGGACACCGACGUAGUUGUCGUCGGAGCCGGCUCUGCCGGACUCUCAUGCGCUUAUGAACUCUCCAAAAACCCUAACAUAAACAUCGCUAUCAUCGAACAAUCCGUCAGCCCCGGCGGCGGUGCAUGGCUCGGAGGACAGCUGUUCUCCGCCAUGAUUGUACGUAAACCGG